Leopardus geoffroyi (Geoffroy's cat) is the source of this 716-nucleotide long non-coding RNA. RefSeq lists it as uncharacterized. The transcript has 3 exons. Lineage: Eukaryota; Metazoa; Chordata; Mammalia; Carnivora; Felidae. The record is from RefSeq and is a predicted model, not a curated record.
UGCCACAUGCUGGGGCUUAAUGGUAUGUGGAACAGACACCCAGGGUUCCAGCACCGUGUGCUGUGUGGGAGAAUGAGAGCCACGCUGGCCAAGCAGAACCACACCUGGGGCACUUCCACAGUCAGCCAGACACCACAGAAGCACAGGCAGGCAGUCGACCUUGUGGGCCCAGCCCUCUGUUGAGGGAGAAGUGACACUGUGGCGGGCCACUCGGACUCCACUGUGCUCUGCACUUGGAAGCAAAUGCCUUUGGACUGGCUGGAUUCCUGUGUGCCUGGAUCAUGCAGGGAAACCUCAAGAAGGAGAUGGCAGGCUUCCUUUUUUAUGAUGCUGGAACUACCGAGUUGCUGGAGAUGCUGUUUUGGACAAGAUAGAAAAGCGAGCCCCUGGUCCUCAUGGAGCCCACAUCCUUACAGAAUAUCAAAAUUAGACAGAGUCAGUCUGUGACCAUGAUGGAUCAAGGCAAGAUCGAGCCCACCCACAACGAUGUCUGAAUAAAAAACAUGAACAUGGUCCACACCACAAGAAAAGUCACGUCCUGGCUGAGCAAGUGACCACAGCUUUUGCUUUUCCCUCUCUUUCUUUUCUUCUUCUCUCUCUUUUUAAUACCAGUUGCAUCAUUAGCCUCAGUAUAGUCUUUCCUCAUACUAGAUAAAAUUUAAGGUAUCCAUUCAUAGAAAUACCCCUGCUUACUGACCCCAUCCAAUCUAAAACAA